This 128-nucleotide small RNA is filed under the name Marmota monax (woodchuck). Lineage: Eukaryota; Metazoa; Chordata; Mammalia; Rodentia; Sciuridae. The record is from RNAcentral.
GCUGGGCACGGUGGCACAUGCCUGUAAUCCCAGCAGCUCAGGAGGCUGAGACAGGAAGAUCAUGGGUUCAAAGCCAGCCUCAGCAACAGUGAGGUCUCACUAAGCAACUCAGUGAGACCCUGUCUCUA